Molecule: non-coding RNA, 110 nt
Organism: Acanthosepion pharaonis
Lineage: Eukaryota; Metazoa; Mollusca; Cephalopoda; Sepiida; Sepiidae
Source: the annotation of a GenBank genome assembly
GGCCACAUCAUGUUGAAACACCAUUUUCCAUAUGAUCACUGAAGUUAAGCAACAUCAAGCCCGGUCAGUAUCUAGAUGGGUGAUUGCUCAGGAAUAUCAGGUGCUGUAAG